RNAcentral lists this ribosomal RNA (404 nucleotides) under Holothuria arguinensis. RNAcentral's name for it is "partial 16S ribosomal RNA". It matches the Rfam family "Bacterial large subunit ribosomal RNA", at positions 1990 to 2608 of the family's 2925-position model. The record is from RNAcentral. Lineage: Eukaryota; Metazoa; Echinodermata; Holothuroidea; Aspidochirotida; Holothuriidae.
GUAUGAACGGCAAAACCUUUUCCAACUGUCUCCCCUCCCAUCCUUUUAAAUUUCCUCCUGUGUGAAGAAGCACAGAUAUAUCAGAAAGACGAGAAGACCCUGUCGAGCUUUAACCACUAAGUGGACCUUACCCUUUUCAGGCACCACCUAAAGGUUUUGGUUGGGGCAACCAUGGAGAAAAAAGAUCCUCCAGAACAAAUAGAAGAAAGCUUUUCACUAUUUUACGACUGAGAACCAGGAACUGGUAUUCGGAAAAAGUUACCGCAGGGAUAACAGCGUCAUCUCCUCUAAGAGUCCUUAUUGACGAGGAGGUUUGCGACCUCGAUGUUGGAUUGGGGCCCCCUUAGGGUGCAGAAGCUCUAAACGGUUAGACUGUUCGUCUAUUAAAGCCCUACAUGAUCUGA